GCGGGUGUAGCUCAGUUGGUUAGAGCGCCGGCCUGUCACGCCGGAGGUCACGGGUUCGAGCCCCGUCACUCGCG
This is a non-coding RNA of Candidatus Liberibacter solanacearum CLso-ZC1, 74 nucleotides long. The record is from Rfam. Lineage: Bacteria; Pseudomonadati; Pseudomonadota; Alphaproteobacteria; Hyphomicrobiales; Rhizobiaceae.